CUAUUAUGGAGAGUUUGAUCCUGGCUCAGGACGAACGCUGGCGGCAUGCCUAAU
RNAcentral lists this ribosomal RNA (54 nucleotides) under Psychrobacillus sp. OK028. RNAcentral's name for it is "16S rRNA. Bacterial SSU". The record is from RNAcentral. Lineage: Bacteria; Bacillati; Bacillota; Bacilli; Caryophanales; Bacillaceae.